AUGGCCGGGCUACUCUCUGUCAAGGCCGUCGCGCUCGCCGCCGUGCUUGCUGCCGCGUAUGCCUCUUGCGCCGCCGCCGAGCAGCCGGGGGCGGCGGACCUCGACGCCUCCGCCGUGUCUUACAGCUCCGCGUGGCUUCCGGCCAGAGCGACCUGGUACGGAGCGCCCAACGGCGCCGGGCCCGACGACAACGGCGGCGCGUGCGGCUUCAAGCACGUGAACCAGUACCCCUUCUCCUCCAUGACCUCCUGCGGCAACCAGCCCCUGUUCAAGGACGGCAAGGGCUGCGGCUCCUGCUACCAGAUACGGUGCAGCGGCGACAAAUCCUGCUCCGGCAAAAUCGAGACGGUGAUGAUCACGGACAUGAACUACUACCCGGUGGCGCAGUACCACUUCGACCUGAGCGGCACGGCCUUCGGCGCGCUGGCCAAGCCGGGGCUCAACGAGAAGCUGCGCCACUCGGGCAUCAUCGACAUCCAGUUCCGGCGGGUGCCCUGCAACUUCCCUGGCCUCAAGAUCAACUUCCACGUGGUGGACGGCUCCAACGCGGUGUACCUGGCGGUGCUGAUCGAGUACGAGGACAUGGACGGCGACGUGAUCCAGGUGGACAUGAAGGAGGCCAACUCCGGGUCGUGGACGCCGAUGCGCGAGUCCUGGGGCUCCAUCUGGCGGAUGGACUCCAACCAUCGCCUCCAGGGGCCCUUCUCCAUGCGCAUCACCAGCGACUCCGGCAAGAAGCUGGUGGCCAACAACGUCAUCCCGGCCAACUGGAGGCCCAACACCGACUACCGCUCCUUCGUCCAGUUCAGCUGA
This 813-nucleotide ribosomal RNA is filed under the name Triticum aestivum (bread wheat). Its description in RNAcentral is "partial small subunit ribosomal RNA". Lineage: Eukaryota; Viridiplantae; Streptophyta; Magnoliopsida; Poales; Poaceae. The record is from RNAcentral.